This 460-nucleotide ribosomal RNA is filed under the name uncultured bacterium. Its description in RNAcentral is "bacterial SSU rRNA". It matches the Rfam family "Bacterial small subunit ribosomal RNA", at positions 338 to 795 of the family's 1533-position model. The record is from RNAcentral.
CCUACGGGUGGCAGCAGUAAGGAAUAUUGGUCAAUGGACGCAAGUCUGAACCAGCCAUGCCGCGUGCAGGAAGACGGCCCUACGGGUUGUAAACUGCUUUUAUACGGGAAUAAACUUCGGUACGUGUACCGAGCUGAAUGUACCGUAAGAAUAAGGAUCGGCUAACUCCGUGCCAGCAGCCGCGGUAAUACGGAGGAUCCAAGCGUUAUCCGGAUUUAUUGGGUUUAAAGGGUGCGUAGGCGGCUUAUUAAGUCAGGGGUGAAAGACGGUGGCUCAACCAUCGCAGUGCCUUUGAUACUGAUAAGCUUGAAUACACUAGAGGUAGGCGGAAUGAGACAAGUAGCGGUGAAAUGCAUAGAUAUGUCUCAGAACACCAAUUGCGAAGGCAGCUUACUAUGGUGUUAUUGACGCUGAGGCACGAAAGCGUGGGGAUCAAACAGGAUUAGAUACCCUUGUAGUC